ACCCCAGUUUUCUUAGCUAUCAGAUCUAAACACUGGUCUGAGAUGUUAUAAGAGGAAGAAAAGUAAAAUUGAAACAGACGCUAAUGCUUUUGUGGUACAAAAGA
This 104-nucleotide small nucleolar RNA is filed under the name Echinops telfairi (small Madagascar hedgehog). RNAcentral describes it as "Small nucleolar RNA SNORA61 (ENSETEG00000026800.1)". Lineage: Eukaryota; Metazoa; Chordata; Mammalia; Afrosoricida; Tenrecidae. The record is from RNAcentral.